Molecule: ribosomal RNA, 468 nt
Filed under: uncultured bacterium
Lineage: Bacteria
Description: partial 16S ribosomal RNA
Rfam family: Bacterial small subunit ribosomal RNA
Source: RNAcentral
GACGAACGCUGGCGGCGUGCUUAACACAUGCAAGUCGAACGGAAAGGCCCUGCUCUUGUGGCGUGCUCGUGUGGCGAAGGGGUGAGUAACACGUGAGUAACCUGCCCUUGUCUGUGUGAUAACUUCUGGAAACAGGGGCGAUUACCGGAUAGGAUCUCUUGCUGCACGGUGGUGGAUGGAAAGAGUCGGCGGUUGGGGAUAGACUCGCGGCUUAUCAGCUUGUUGGUGGGGUAGUUGCGUACCAAGGCUUUGACGGGUAGCCCGCCUGAGAGGGUAGACGGCGUCAAUGCGACUGAGAGACGCAGCAGUCGCCAACCGGACGCAGCAGGGGAGAGUCUGACACAGUGGCGCGGCGCGUGAUGUAGCGAUCCUGCGUGCGGGAAACCGUGUUAUGAGUGGUGAACAUAUGUCGCCGGUGACGAGGCGUUAGUGACGGUAACGGGUCAAGAAGCCACGGCUAACUACGUG